Molecule: long non-coding RNA, 3611 nt
Organism: Cygnus olor (mute swan)
Lineage: Eukaryota; Metazoa; Chordata; Aves; Anseriformes; Anatidae
Exons: 3
Source: RefSeq, a predicted model, not a curated record
AGGUGCUUUGAAGAUAGAUUGGUAGAAAUAAAUUAAGGAUCAGAAAAAUUCUGCAUCUUCACUAAUAUUUUUCUUCUGCUGACAACAGAGACCCCAUGAGAAGUCUUUUAUUUUCUCUUCCCGAAACAGAAGAUUUGUGUCCUGCGAUGCAGUUCCAUGCAGGCUAGAACUACAAGAGCACUGCUGGAAAAUUGCAGGAACAAUGAUUUAUUCCUGGGCUGAGAGCUGAACAAGGGAAAACACAUAAACACUGCACUAUAGGCACAAAAGUAUCAUUUCAAAACCAGAAGAAAUCAGCUCAGAUCCUGGAAUGCAGUAACCGCCAAAAGCUUUUUCAGGCAGGAGAAGGAAGAUGUUGAGAAAACCACGUGAGACCUCUUAGCCUUAGCACUGCCAGAGAAAAACUGUAAGGUUGAAAAAUCACGAGAUCGUCUUAAAGACUGUAACAUUCGAGUGAAAUUCUCAACUCCACCUUCUUUGGCUUCCAAUUCCGUUUCUAGAGGAUUUAUUUGCUCUGUGUUUUCUAUCUUUGAAAACACAAAGGCUAGCGAAGUCUUAGAUGCCAACACUGAGAUUUUUAUGCAGUCUCCUGAUUCCAGCAGCUAGAGCUCUAAGAAAAAUCUUGCAAGUCUGUCAGCUGCUGUAUAAGCAGAAAGCUUUAUGUAUUGUUCCUAUAGAUACACAUUUGCUCUUAUUUACCUCUCACACAGUGCUUAUUCGCAGUUUUCAGGUGAAUCAUAUAGCAGGCAUAUGGAAAAACAUACACGUUUCCCAGACUUCCCUGCUUUUUGAUAAUCCCAGCGAAAAUUGAAACAGCCACUUGUGCCAGAUUUCAAAAGGCAAAUUCAUUUUCUAAAGCAUUUGAGCUCUUAGCUCCCCAUUGAUCUUUGUGCAAGUUAGGAGCCAAGUGCAUUUGCAAAUGCCUACCUGCAUCUUUACAGAUUUAGGCUAUUGCAAAACUGCAUCAAAGGGACCUUCAGGCAAGGCUGCAGUUCUUUGGGAUUGGAGAGAAACUACUGCGCUGGAAAGAAAAAAGGAUAGGGAAAUACUUUCUGUUGGAUAUUUUUUCAUUAUGUGUGAUUAGAAGUACUGACAGUGUAAUUUGUAUAGGACUGUUCAAAACAGCGUGGUAUUUAUAGACUCGUUUGUUUUUAUCGAGUUAGGCUAUCGUAUAUUCAUAGGGCAAUGCUACCUAUUCUUUGGGAGAACUGGUGUGCUAUCUUGGUAUACAUACUCUUGCUUGAUGCGUAAAACAAGAUUUUAAGAUGUUAUGAAAUAUAUAUAUGUUUUGUUUUACAAGCUCAAAAGCAGAACAAGAGUGAUUUAAAGGAAAGCAACGUUUAAAUAUAGAAAUCGAUUUGAUAAGGGGAGCCUUGGAAAAUGUGAAGUUCUUUGUAUUUCUCCAGCUCGUGAUUCCAAAGCCCCCCAGCCUUUUGCUUAUGCAAAACAUCUGCCUUCAGCUGUUCCAUUUUUCAGGAAAAAUAGCUUGUAGGAGAGGCGCCAGUUGUCUUUUAUGUUUCUAUUACUUUAAUUUUUACUGUUACCCAUAUGGCUUUUUUGGAAAAUGGUCUUCCCCUUAAUGUGUGAUAGUCAGGGUCUCUGGCAUCUAAUCGUACACAUUUCUGCAGUGCUACAUUGCUUCUAGUAAUUUGCUUUUUCAUUGGGGAAAAAAAAAAGAUCCAUCUUUAUCCAUUCCUCUAGACCACACAAAUGUAGAACACAAACAAAUGAGGAAAAAAAUGGAAAAGAAUAACCCAUCUCAGAAAAAAGUACCACCUAAACAAAAUGAACGUACUUUUGCGGUCAUUAUUUAAACCAGCUGCUCCUGAAGGUUGUUACUGCUAUCAGUGAAUCUAUUUCAUGGAUUGAAAGUAGCGUGGACUUCUGUGAUGUUCUAGCUGAAAACGGCUUUUGCAAAAACCUCUCGUUCUUGCUGGCUUGGUUUUGAGCCAGCCACUGCUACCAUCUGGAGACCUGAGACAUGAGAUGAAAAUUAGCAACCUGCCUGGAAAACUUAGAGCGAAAGCCUUCCCCACGUCCAGCAGGCGCGCGGUCAGCACCCAGUCCCACACCAACUGAAGCCUGCGUGCUUACAACAGUUGGGAUUUGCUCUGGGGGUCAAAGCCUCUUACCCGUGAGUUGGAGCCUACUCUUUUCCACAAAGAGCCUGAGGGAAUUGUGCUAGGCCAGGGCACGGAACAGAAAUGCAACUGUAUCAGCGAACUGAUUGACAAAACGACACGGGUAAAAAUACUGUAGGUUAGAUGAGCAUGUAAGUGGUUGGUAAGGCAUUAACAGUACUUUCAAGACAAAAGGAACUGUGUGUCUGUAUGUAUAUGAAGCUGAAUGUAAACCUGAGCGUUACCUCCUUCACAACACAGUUUUCUUACCUAAAUACCCCAUUUUUUUUUCCAGCUUUCCAUGUUUUCUCAAAUUAGCUUCAUGAAAUUUUGGGGAAUGAAAGAGCACAAUGAUUGCAGAGCUAUUCUGUGAGAAAAUUCCCACAGUCUAGCUAGCCACAUGAAAGAAAAAGCUCUGCUCGUUCUGUUAUGAGCUCUUAUGGUAUAGACAAUGAAUCCAGCCCUCUCAUGUUUUCAGACCUCUCCUCAUUAAUUGUCAGUGAGAAAUUAUGAAGGCUGCAGACAGAUAAUCUUACAAUAGGUACCACAGAGCAUUUUUCACCAUGUGUUUUCAGUUCAGACUAAACCACUACUUCAGGUUCUGUGGCAUAACAAAUUGAUGCAGGUUAGGUUGCUUUAAAAAAAAAAAAUAAAAUAAAAUUUUCAGGGCUCAAGGCAGCUUGUGUUCAUUCUUAGUCUGUUUUGUAAGUGAUGGAAAUUUGACAACUUCAGUUUAUGAGCUAGAGAAAAAUAUGGGGUGCAUUUUUUUACCUACUUGCUAGGGAAAAUCCUGCAAGGUGCUGAGCUGUUCAUACUAAAUACCAGUUACUUUCAUUGAAUUAGGUGAGAGCUGAAGAUGCUCAAAGAAUUAGGUUCCUCUUCUGUCUCAGUGACUUCUUGUUGACGGGCUACCAGCCCUUAUAAAGGCGGCUGGUUGUGUCCGUUUUUCGGCAUGCACGCUGGCUGACAGUUUAAUACUGCUAAAAUGAAAAGCUAGUUAGUUUUCCCCCAAAUCCCAUGCAGCUCUUCCAAGUUUUUUCUCAUGUGCAUAUGUCAGCACACUCACACUUGAACGCAGCACUCAGCAGUAAUCAGAGAUAACACACUGUACUGAAAUUCUCUCUGCUUUAUAUCAUUCAAAUGUGAAUAGGAUAAUUGGGAGCAUACUUUAUAGCUUAGUCAGACCCUCAUAGAACAAAUGCAGCCACUCUUUCUUUCUUUUUUUUUUUUAACUUCAGAACUGCCCACAGAAGUAAAGUUUUUUUUUCCUUUUUUUCUUGUGAUGAGUAUUUCUUGCUAUUAAUUAGGUUUUCUUCUGUGGGCAUCUGAGCUAGCGGCUGAGGGCAAUGCAGCAAUGAGCUAGCAUGAACAAAUCAGCCUGACAGCAGCUUGGGUUUUUCACUCUGCCAAAUGGAGCCAUUGUUGAGAAAAGCGCUAAGAAAGACACCUAGAUUUGUUGCCUAUAGAAAGAGUGCUAUUCUAUUCUCUUUA